AAUUUAAUAUUUUCUUUAUGUACGAACAUAAUUUAUACAAGUAAGAGAAAUAUUUAGUUGGUUUCAGUUAUUAUAACAGUUAUAACGAAUAAAAAUGUAUGAAACAUAAAAAUGUAUGAGUGAGUGAAUUAAUAACUAAAACAAUUAGUCAUCAUCACAAUGGCAUACGUCAGCGAUGCUCCUCCUUAGAAUAUAACUCAGCCAACGAAAUAUAUAUUAGUUUAGACUGCCGCCUUCAAAACAUUUCAAUCAGAUGGAUGCAUCGCAGUAGUUUUAAAUAGACGCAUCCAAUAAUUUUUGAUUCGUCGGUAGAGUGUUUGUGAUUUUCGACAAGCUUAUCGGGCAGGCUGUCUAUCGCCGGGAAACGACCCGUGCGCUUUGUGCGAGUUUUUAACUGCGAAGACACAGUUAGACACUAGUGAAUUUCCAUGCGAGAGUUCAACAAACGGCACGCUUGCACACAUAUUUCAUUCUGAUGCUCAUUACUUAACAUUAAUUAAUAAGGGCAUACUUAAAGAUUUCCAGUCAAGCUAAUUAAUUGACUUACAUUCAUUAUUACAUUCUUAUUGGUAGCGAAGUUGCAACUGAUACUUCCUACAUUAUAAUUAAUCUCAAAAAUGAGCAAAGUUCAAGGCGGGGACAGAUUCCAUGUGGAGAAUAUCAUUUUGAAAAUUCUAAGAAGUUUUAAGCAAAA
Pogonomyrmex barbatus (red harvester ant) is the source of this 694-nucleotide long non-coding RNA. The record is from RefSeq and is a predicted model, not a curated record. NCBI's taxonomy places the organism in Eukaryota, Metazoa, Arthropoda, Insecta, Hymenoptera, Formicidae.